Molecule: ribosomal RNA, 751 nt
Filed under: Oenococcus oeni
Lineage: Bacteria; Bacillati; Bacillota; Bacilli; Lactobacillales; Lactobacillaceae
Description: bacterial LSU rRNA
Rfam family: Bacterial large subunit ribosomal RNA
Source: RNAcentral
CUCUAAUCAGGAUCCUGAGUACGGCCCAGCACGUGAAAUUGGGUCGGAAUCUGGGAGGACCAUCUCCCAAGGCUAAAUACUAACUAGUGACCGAUAGCGAACAAGUACCGUGAGGGAAAGGUGAAAAGAACCCCGGAAGGGGAGUGAAAUAGUUCUUGAAACCGUGUGCUUACAAGAAGUUCGAGGCCGUUAAUGGCUGAGAGCGUGCUUUUUGUAGAAUGAACCGGAGAGUUACGAUUGCGUGCAAGGUUAAGGUGCAAAGACUGGAGCCGUAGCGAAAGCGAGUCUUAAUAGGGCGAAUCAGUACGUAGUUGUAGACCCGAAACCGAGUGACCUAUCCAUGGUCAGGUUGAAGGUGGGGUAAUACCUACUGGAGGACCGAACAAGUGGGUGUUAAAAAACCCUUUGAUGAACUGUGGAUAGCGGUGAAAUUCCAAUCGAACUCGGAGAUAGCUGGUUCUAUCCGAAAUACAUUUAGGUGUAGCCUUGCAAUUAGCUUACUGGAGGUAGAGCACUAUUUGGUCUAGGGGCCCUUCAAGGGUUACCAAAAUCAGAUAAACUCCGAAUGCCAGCUAAGUAUGUGCAGGAGUCAGACGGUGAGUGAUAAGAUCCAUCGUCAAAAGGGGAACAGCCCAGAUCACAAGUUAAGGUCCCUAAAUAUAUGCUAAGUGGAAAACGUUGUGAAGGUGCAUAGACAACUAGGAGGUUGGCUCAGAAGCAGCCACCCUUUAAAGAGUGCGUAAUAGCUCAC